RNAcentral lists this ribosomal RNA (305 nucleotides) under uncultured bacterium. RNAcentral describes it as "bacterial SSU rRNA". It matches the Rfam family "Bacterial small subunit ribosomal RNA", at positions 337 to 640 of the family's 1533-position model. The record is from RNAcentral.
GCCUACGGGGGGCAGCAGUGAGGAAUAUUGGUCAAUGGGCGGGAGCCUGAACCAGCCAAGCCGCGUGAGGGAAGAAGGUACAGCGUAUCGUAAACCUCUUUUGUCAGGGAACAAAGGCGGGGACUAGUCCCCGGAUGAGGGUACCUGAAGAAAAAGCAUCGGCUAACUCCGUGCCAGCAGCCGCGGUAAUACGGAGGAUGCGAGCGUUAUCCGGAUUUAUUGGGUUUAAAGGGUGCGUAGGCGGAUUUUUAAGUCAGCGGUAAAAUGUCCGGGCUCAACCCGGGCCGGCCGUUGAAACUGGGGAU